RNAcentral lists this ribosomal RNA (1266 nucleotides) under metagenome. RNAcentral describes it as "bacterial SSU rRNA". It matches the Rfam family "Bacterial small subunit ribosomal RNA", at positions 75 to 1412 of the family's 1533-position model. The record is from RNAcentral.
AUUAAUAUUAAUAUAUUAACAUCGCGUCCGGGAGAGUAUAAAUAAAGAACCUACCUUUCGUUUCAGAAUAAAAUAAAUACUGGUAAACUUACUUCGGCGUGAAGUAAAUAAUGAAGAUAGAUUAUCGAUGAAAGAUGGGCUUUAUCCGUAUUAGCUAUUGAGUAGUGUAAAGGACUACUUAGGCGAAGAUGCGUAGCUGGUAUGAAAGUACGUCCAGCCUCAAGUGCACUGAAACACGGGCACUACCCACAAUGUGGGGCAGCAGUAAUGAAUAUUUUCCAAUGGGAGAAAUCCUGAGAAAGCUACUAAGGAUAAUUAUGGUAUCUUAUAAAUAUGAAUCAAGAUACGUUGAUAUAAUCAAGAAAUAGAAUCUAUAGUGAAGGUUUUAUUUUAGGAAGGGGCGGCUAAUUCAGGUGCCAGAAGCAUCGGUUAGACCUGGGCCUCGAGUGUUACUCUAUAACUUAAGGUGUAAAGGAUGUGUAGGUUGACUUAUAAGUUCUAAGUGAAAUUUUUGAUUUAGGAUUGAAAGGGUUUUAGAAAACUGUAAGUCUAGAGUUUAGGAGAGGAUUGUGGAACGACUGAGGUAUCGAUAAAAUGAGUAGAUCUCAGUAUGAACACCAAAAGCGAAGGCAACAAUCUGGCCAUAAACUGACGCUGAGACAUGAAAGCUUAGGGAGCGAAAAGGAUUUGAUACCCUUGUAGUCUAAGCCGUAAACGAUGUAGAUUCGGUGUGAGAUAGUGUAUUUCGUGCCCAAGGUAACCCGUUAAAUCUACCACCUGAAUACUACGAUCGCAAGAUUAAAAUUCAAAUUAAUAGAGCGUUAGUAAAAUCGAGGGAGGAUCAUGUAGCUUAAUUCGACAAUCCGCGAGAAAUCUUACUUUUUCUAGUGUAAAGCUUAUGCUUUAUUCAGGUCGUGCAUGGCUGUCGUCAAUUCGUGUUUUGAGAUGUCUGAUUAAUUUCGUUAAACGAAUGCAACCCUUAGCUUAUGUUACUUUCAUGAGCAACUGCUAUUGUAAAAUAGAGGAAGGUGGGGAUAACGUCAAGUCUUUAUGCGCUUUAUGAAAAAGGCUGCAUAUGUGAUACAAUGGAUCAUACAAUAGGAGACUAUUUAGUAAUAAAAUGUUAAUCUUUAAAAUGGUUCGAAGUUUGGAUUGGUGACUGAAAAGCGUCUCCAUGAAAUAGGAUUCCUUAGUAAUCGAGUAUUAGAUCGGCUCGGUGAAUUGUAAAUUACUUUGCCACUAACUGCCUGUCACUACCGCAAAUGU